UAACAAGGUUUGCGUAGGUGUAACCUGCGGGAAGGCUCAUUGUACGAGCACCCUCCGACGCUGCUGCUGGCCGUCUCGACGGCAUGUGCACGCGUCGGAUUGACCUCAUUCACCACAAGUGCACCUCUGGUAGGUCGGGGAAACCCGAUCUUACGAUCGCAUACACACAUACAUGUCGUAGAACUAGAUUGUAAUAACAAUACAACUUUCAACAACGGAUCUCUUGGUUCUCCCAUCGAUGAAGAACGCAGCGAAAUGCGAUAAGUAAUGUGAAUUGCAGAAUCCAGUGAAUCAUCGAAUCUUUGAACGCACCUUGCGCCCUUCGGUAUUCCGAAGGGCAUGCCUGUUUGAGUGUCAUUUUGUAUCGUCCACGGCCUUUUCGAAGGCGCGGUGGGUCAGUGGAGGACUUGCCGGGCACGCGCUCGGCUCCUCUUAAAUGCAUUAGCGACGGUCUGACCUUGCAGAGCCCCUCCGACGUGAUAAGACCUAUCCGACGUCGCAACCUGCGGGGUCCGCUCGCUUCUAACUGUCGCGAGACAACGGAGGCCCUUGAAAAGGGGCCUUUCGACGCUCUGACCUCAAAUCAGGU
This 589-nucleotide ribosomal RNA is filed under the name Lichenomphalia grisella. RNAcentral describes it as "eukaryotic LSU rRNA". The stretch from base 204 to 357 matches the Rfam family "5.8S ribosomal RNA". Lineage: Eukaryota; Fungi; Basidiomycota; Agaricomycetes; Agaricales; Hygrophoraceae. The record is from RNAcentral.